GUGCCAGCCGCCGCGGUAAUACGUAGGGGGCAAGCGUUGUUCGGAAUUACUGGGCGUAAAGGGCGCGUAGGCGGCACGGCAAGUCAGGAGUGAAAGCCCGGGGCUCAACCCCGGAACGUCUUUUGAAACUGCCGAGCUAGAGUGCGGAAGAGGCAACUGGAAUUCCCAGUGUAGCGGUGAAAUGCGUAGAUAUUGGGAAGAACACCUGAGGCGAAGGCGGGUUGCUGGGCCGACACUGACGCUGAGGCGCGAAAGCCAGGGGAGCGAACGGGAUUAGAAACCCCGGUAGUCC
This 292-nucleotide ribosomal RNA is filed under the name uncultured bacterium. Its description in RNAcentral is "partial 16S ribosomal RNA". It matches the Rfam family "Bacterial small subunit ribosomal RNA", at positions 505 to 796 of the family's 1533-position model. The record is from RNAcentral.